ACAUUGAAGCUAUGCUGAGUUUAACAUGGGUUUCAGUACUUUAAGUCUUCUGACAAUUUUUCUUUUUUUACCCAUCCUGACAGAUUAUGUGAUCACAGCCACGAAUAUUCGGGAGAAAUGUGAGUGCAUCAACGUGACCAACAAUGUGAGAUGGAGAGCAGUCAAAGGCUUUGAAGUGAAAGAGCCGGAGGCUCUUUGCAAUAAGGUUCAAAUAAUCAUGAGGGUGGGAAAGAAAUUGUCCUGCCUGAAUCCAGAAUCCAACCAAGGAAAAAGACUGCUCAAAUGUUGGAAGGGGAUAGGAUUUAACGAAAAGAAGAAGAAGGCCUGCUUCACACCCAAAAAAUCCAAAACUAAAAAGAAGACAAAGAAGAAGAGGCAGUAACUGUUUGGAGCCUAUAGAACAUACGCCCUAAUAAAAGGGCCAUGCUCAUAAAGAUAUAAUAAGCAAGCUAUUUGAUAUUUUAUACACUGUUUAAAGGUUCUAUAUAUAACUAUUACUCUAUAUAUAACUAUUACUUUGCUUAGUUAAAAAUGUGUCACAUGUCACAAAACCCUUUUUGCUUUGAAUGUAUAAUGAAAGUACUGGCACCUUUUCUGUGACUAAUAAUAUUAUACUGUUAUUUUCUUACACUGUUUAAACACAAGCUUUUGUAUUUGAUGUUUGUUUUUUUAUACAUAAUCAAAUGAAUGUAAAUUGAACGUGAACAAUUACUUCAAA
This 718-nucleotide long non-coding RNA is filed under the name Astyanax mexicanus (Mexican tetra). RNAcentral's name for it is "lncRNA (ENSAMXG00005022865.1)". Lineage: Eukaryota; Metazoa; Chordata; Actinopteri; Characiformes; Acestrorhamphidae. The record is from RNAcentral.